This 201-nucleotide long non-coding RNA is filed under the name Elaeis guineensis (African oil palm). RNAcentral's name for it is "long non-coding RNA (EGUI_LNC072514)". Lineage: Eukaryota; Viridiplantae; Streptophyta; Magnoliopsida; Arecales; Arecaceae. The record is from RNAcentral.
CCAUAGUCACGAGGUGGAGGAACACAACUAUCCUUCCCACCUCUGGGAGAUCCUUUUCAUCAAAAAAGGGAUAUGGGUUAGAUCCGAUAUAGUCCCCCCUCCAUAGAUGAUAGGCUCUGAUAACAAUCUUCCAUUUUCCUUUUCAUGCACAUUGCACAUUCCUACUGCUGAUUUAUGCCAAAUUAUAAAUAUAUAUCAGGG